RNAcentral lists this transfer RNA (111 nucleotides) under Sporisorium scitamineum. RNAcentral's name for it is "transfer RNA-Ser(GCT)". It matches the Rfam family "tRNA". From Rfam's summary of the family: Transfer RNA (tRNA) molecules are approximately 80 nucleotides in length. Their secondary structure includes four short double-helical elements and three loops (D, anti-codon, and T loops). Further hydrogen bonds mediate the characteristic L-shaped molecular structure. tRNAs have two regions of fundamental functional importance: the anti-codon, which is responsible for specific mRNA codon recognition, and the 3' end, to which the tRNAs corresponding amino acid is attached (by aminoacyl-tRNA synthetases). tRNAs cope with the degeneracy of the genetic code in two manners: having more than one tRNA (with a specific anti-codon) for a particular amino acid; and 'wobble' base-pairing, i.e. permitting non-standard base-pairing at the 3rd anti-codon position. Lineage: Eukaryota; Fungi; Basidiomycota; Ustilaginomycetes; Ustilaginales; Ustilaginaceae. The record is from RNAcentral.
GACGCUUUGGUGGAGUGGUUAACACGUAUCCCUGCUAUUACGUCGGCAUUUCGUUACACGAUUGUUAGGAUAUCCUCUUUGAGGGCGUGAGUUCGAAUCUCACAGGCGUCG